AGUCGGCGCCCGGAAGAGGCGAGACUCGCGCUUGGGUUCUCAAUCCUUCUCUUUUCUCCUUUCUUUUUCCCUUUCUCCUCUCCGGUUCCUGAUUUAGCUGGGAGCUGUUUAUUUAUGGCUGCAAAUGUGUGUGUUCAAGAGAGAGAGGGAAUUGAUCUUUGCCUGGACUUAAAGAUGGAGCCGAAGAAGCUGGAGGGAAUUUGGGCUUGUGCGUCUGGCCCAGACCCUGUGCGCCGAGCCCGAGGUCUAUCCUCCCCGCACCUCUCACCUCGCGACCUUGCAGGAAUCCGCGGGCCCGGAUGCUGCCCAGCUGACCCUCCUGCCCCGGGCCUGGCUGCAGAGAAAGUCUUCGGGCAGGAGGCCAUCCUGUUCCUGUCUUUAAAAUGAGCACAAUAAAAGGGGGCAAAUCCUCGAACGCGAACCUGAUCUCAUGUCACAGAAGCAACUUGCCAUGAAAUCCGCUAAUGCGCUGCGACUCGCCCACCAGGAUAAAUAACCCCAUCGUCCGUGUAAUCAGCACGUUCCCAAUGAAGUCGUUUUCCUAGAAUGCGCUCUCCGCCUGCCACACUUGAGGAAUCCAGCCCACAGAGGUUUCGGAAACCCAGUUUGAGUGAUUCCAGCCUAGACUGAAACCCUGAGAGCCUCCCAGGAAAGAGAGCCCGGCCUGGGCCAAGCAGUCGGACACACACACACACACACACACACACACACACACACACACACACACACACACGGACUGCGUAGCUCUUCGCAGGAUCGAAGGCUGGAUGCGGAUCUGGGAGGCGGUGGCUAAGCGAACCAGGAAGACUGUGACGGAAACCAAUACAGCAGUGUCAUCUUGAAAGUUAUUUGGAAGAACAGGACCUGGAGUCUGGGUUUGAAUCAAAAAAUUGUGAGCAAGGGACAGAUCACCCUGUAUUUCUCUGGAACGAGGCAGAACUGAGACCUGCUCAGCUGAACCAGCGUGGCCACAUAUUGGGGACUAGGAAAUUGUUCUCAGACACUGUAGCACACACAUCCUCUGACAGCGAGCUCACUCCUGCGCAGUGGGCUUCUGGUUCUGCCACUGCACUCCACAAACGCCCUACAGGCCUCCUCCAGGUUUUGCCAGGCAAAUGAAACGAGCACAACUCGAUAGUAAAUUAUUUUGUUCAGCCUUCUCUCUUUUUAUGAAAAUAAGAGGCAACACUUUGUCAUUUUUAAUCACAUAAGCAGACAAUAAAUCUAAUUUUGAUAUUGA
This 1240-nucleotide long non-coding RNA is filed under the name Homo sapiens (human). RNAcentral's name for it is "uncharacterized LOC101928499, transcript variant 1 (LOC101928499)". The record is from RNAcentral. Lineage: Eukaryota; Metazoa; Chordata; Mammalia; Primates; Hominidae.